GAUCUCCACCUCACAGUCUCUCUCUCUCUCUUUCGCUUUUCCACUGCAAGUCCCUCACCGUCAAUCCAAUGUCCCAACUCACAGAUUCUCCCGAUAUUCUCUCCUCCGUCGCCAUUGGCUAAUCGUUUUUUUUUUUCUCUUAAAUUUUCAACUCCUCAAGUCUCCGCCUCUCUGCAGACUUCAACCCCCACCACUGCUUCCUCUUCUUCAACCUUCAACGUCGCCAUUUAGGGUUUUCCCAUGGCAAUUUCGUAAUUUCAUUCUCAAUGGCGGCCACUUCUAGCGGUUUAUCCGCUCACUUCCAUUUCAAGCUCACUCGCCUCCACAUUUCUCCGUUGCAUACUACUGUCUAUGGAUUGCAGCUCAGAAAGAAGAAGAAGAGGAGGACCGUCGG
Molecule: unclassified non-coding RNA, 394 nt
Filed under: Hevea brasiliensis (rubber tree)
Lineage: Eukaryota; Viridiplantae; Streptophyta; Magnoliopsida; Malpighiales; Euphorbiaceae
Source: RNAcentral